CGUCACGGAAGCGCCCGAGCAGCGGGGAAGCCGCCAGUGGCAGAGACUAGAGCUGGCGAGAGACGGGGAAGGAGGGAGAGACGGGAGACGGGAGACGGACACGAGACCGGAGGACAAGCCCGACCCGAAAAAGACAGAGAGACACACCAGCGCCGCGCCCUCGGCCGGCCGUCGGUUUACGCUACGAAGCGUCGCUCGGACGUUUGACAGCAGCACGACAGAUUAGGUGCAGAGCCCCCCCCCCGCCUCCCCCCGAGCCCCCUCCCACUCCCCCAGCGAGGCGUGUGUUACCUCGAUCACAUCACAACGAGCCCGACAGAAAGCGAGAGUCACGGAGAUCCCUUCACCCCGAGCCUCUUGGAUUUACUUCAUCCAAAAGGAAGUCCCAUCGAUUCCCGCUUUCCGACAAAGCACAUUAAUUCCAGUGAGCUUUUUUCUUUUGGAAAGGCCUUAAUCAC
Molecule: long non-coding RNA, 458 nt
Organism: Gasterosteus aculeatus aculeatus (three-spined stickleback)
Lineage: Eukaryota; Metazoa; Chordata; Actinopteri; Perciformes; Gasterosteidae
Source: Ensembl